This 594-nucleotide ribosomal RNA is filed under the name uncultured Actinomycetes bacterium. RNAcentral's name for it is "bacterial SSU rRNA". It matches the Rfam family "Bacterial small subunit ribosomal RNA", at positions 56 to 662 of the family's 1533-position model. The record is from RNAcentral. Lineage: Bacteria; Bacillati; Actinomycetota; Actinomycetes.
UGCAGUCGAACGAUGAAGCUGGAGCUUGCUCUGGUGGAUUAGUGGCGAACGGGUGAGUAACACGUGAGUAACCUGCCCUUGACUCUGGGAUAAGCGUUGGAAACGACGUCUAAUACCGGAUACGAGCUUCAGCCGCAUGGCUAGGAGUUGGAAAGAAUUUUGGUCAAGGAUGGACUCGCGGCCUAUCAGCUUGUUGGUGAGGUAAUGGCUCACCAAGGCGACGACGGGUAGCCGGCCUGAGAGGGUGACCGGCCACACUGGAACUGAGAUACGGUCCAGACUCCUACGGGAGGCAGCAGUGGGGAAUAUUGCACAAUGGGCGCAAGCCUGAUGCAGCAACGCCGCGUGAGGGAUGAAGGCCUUCGGGUUGUAAACCUCUUUUAGCAGGGAAGAAGCGAGAGUGACGGUACCUGCAGAAAAAGCACCGGCUAACUACGUGCCAGCAGCCGCGGUAAUACGUAGGGUGCAAGCGUUGUCCGGAAUUAUUGGGCGUAAAGAGCUCGUAGGCGGUUUGUCGCGUCUGCUGUGAAAAUCCAAGGCUCAACCUUGGACCUGCAGUGGGUACGGGCAGACUAGAGUGCGGUAGGGGAGAUG